RNAcentral lists this ribosomal RNA (594 nucleotides) under uncultured bacterium. RNAcentral's name for it is "bacterial SSU rRNA". It matches the Rfam family "Bacterial small subunit ribosomal RNA", at positions 57 to 652 of the family's 1533-position model. The record is from RNAcentral.
GCAAGUCGAGGGGUAUGGUUCUUCGGAACCAGAGACCGGCGCACGGGUGCGUAACGCGUAUGCAAUCUACCUUUCACAGAGGGAUAGCCCAGAGAAAUUUGGAUUAAUACCUCAUAGUAUAUUGGUCUCGCAUGAGAUUGUUAUUAAAGAUUUAUCGGUGAAAGAUGAGCAUGCGUCCCAUUAGUUAGUUGGUAAGGUAACGGCUUACCAAGACUACGAUGGGUAGGGGUCCUGAGAGGGAGAUCCCCCACACUGGUACUGAGACACGGACCAGACUCCUACGGGAGGCAGCAGUGAGGAAUAUUGGACAAUGGGCGCAAGCCUGAUCCAGCCAUGCCGCGUGCAGGAUGACGGUCCUAUGGAUUGUAAACUGCUUUUAUACGAGAAGAAACACUGGUUCGUGAACCAGCUUGACGGUAUCGUAAGAAUAAGGAUCGGCUAACUCCGUGCCAGCAGCCGCGGUAAUACGGAGGAUCCAAGCGUUAUCCGGAAUCAUUGGGUUUAAAGGGUCCGUAGGCGGUCAGAUAAGUCAGUGGUGAAAGCCCAUCGCUCAACGGUGGAACGGCCAUUGAUACUGUCUGACUUGAAUUAUUA